This 1121-nucleotide long non-coding RNA is filed under the name Selaginella moellendorffii. RNAcentral's name for it is "long non-coding RNA (SMOE_LNC001855)". Lineage: Eukaryota; Viridiplantae; Streptophyta; Lycopodiopsida; Selaginellales; Selaginellaceae. The record is from RNAcentral.
GAGCGCCACGAUCUUUCUUCGGGUGUUUUUGGCUCUCGGAUCCAUUGCUUCGGUAUGUUGCAUCCGCUCUAGCGAUCUCCAGAUCCUGCAUAGUUUUAGUCAGCAGCUGGUAGACUCAAAUGCGUCGCUUACAAGCUGGAAGUUAGAAUCGCCAUGCUCGUCCUGGGAAGGCGUGUUGUGUCGCGACGAUGGCGUCACAGUGACAGCGGUCUUGCUAUACAACAAGUUCUUGACGGGUCAGAUAUCUCCUUCGCUGGGCCACCUGAAAUUCCUGCAACGCUUGGAUCUCUCCCAGAAUGGCUUGAGUGGAGACAUACCUGUGGAGCUCUUGAAACUCACCGAGCUGACGAUGCUAAGCCUUUCCAGCAAUCAGCUGUCUGGUCAAAUUCCCAGGCACAUGGAAAUGCUCGAGAACCUGGAAUAUCUAUACUUGUCAAGGAACAACUUGAGCGGGAGCAUACCUCGUAGCUUGGGAAGCUGUCGAAGGUUGAAAGAGCUGGAUGUUUCUGGAAAUUACCUCGAAGGAAAUGUGCCAGUUGAGCUUGGACAGCUUAGACGACUGGAAAAACUUGGCGUAGCCAUGAAUAAUCUCAGUGGAGGCAUCCCGGAUUUUACAAACUGCACGAAUCUCACGGACCUGGCGCUGUCGUUUAACAACUUAACAGGCAAUGUACAUCCAAGCGUGGCAACGCUGCCCCGGCUCCAGAACCUAUGGUUGAAUGACAAUCAGCUCAGUGGAGACCUUCCAGUAGAACUUGGAAGACACAGCAACUUACUAAUUUUAUACCUGUCCAGCAACCGGUUCACAGGCACUAUUCCCGAGAAUCUGUGCGUCAAUGGCUUUCUGGAGAGAGUAUACUUGCACGACAAUAAUCUCCAAGGCGAAAUCCCACGAAAGCUGGUCACAUGUCCCAGGCUCGAACGGUUGUUGCUGCAAAACAACAUGCUCACGGGUCAAAUCCCGGAAGAAGUCGGCCAGAAUCAAGUGUUGAAUUACCUGGAUCUCUCCAACAACCGGCUCAAUGGUUCUCUUCCAGCUUCGCUGAAUGACUGCAAAAAUCUGACGACGCUUUUCCUCGCAUGCAAUCGCAUUUCUGGAGACCUUAUCAGCGGGUUUGAGC